AAUAAUAAAAAUAAAAAAAUAAAAAAAAAAUCGGAAAAUUUAAAAAUCCAAAAAUAUUGUCUUGUUUCCCUUUUUGUUCUGAAUCAGAUUUUUUUUUGUUAGUUUCCCGACCCAAUGAUAUAAUUAGAUCAAAUUUGAAUCAUGAUUAUCAAGAACUUAGUUAACAUGUGUUUUGUGAAAUUCCUAAUUCUUUUGUUAGUUUUGUACAUGUUUGAUCAUCUUUGAAAAACCAAAUGCACAUAGCCUUGUUGAUGUGAAACUAAAGCAUAACUUAAAGCUUCAUAUGUGAAUUUAGUGACCAUCCUAUGUGAGUUUUUGAGCCGAUUGAAAGUGUGUGCAUUUUUCAUACACUCCUAUUUUUUUAUGUGUGAUGAACUUAUGUGAGAUACAUCUCUAGAACUUGCGUAACGAUCUUUCGAAAUGUUUGUCAUUGAUUGCAUGAAUUUGGAAAUGAUAGAGGCAUUAGGUUUACCACUAUGGCCCAAAUAACCAUGUUUCCCAAAGAAAAAUGAUAUCAUUAGAUUGCCAAGUUGAGCCGUGUUUGUUGAGCCUUUUAUUUCUUAUCACCAGAUAUGUCUACCCUUAUACCUGAAAUAUUUUUCCUUACCAUUUCCAAGCGAGCAAUGCGAGAUUGUCUUAUGAGAAACGGUUGUGAAGUACUUUGAAGGUGUUUGGCAAAAGAAUAAGUGUGGGGGUAUUUCAUGUUUGUAUAAAAAAAAUAAAAAUAAAAAAAAUAAAAAAAAAGAAGAAAAAAAGAAAAGAAAAAGAAAGAUUGUAUACAAAGAAAAUAAAAAGUUUUUAAAGUUUCAGUUUAAGGGUGUGAUUGGAGGUAUCAGAAGAAUCGUUGUAGAGCUUGAGUUCUUAUAAAUCUAAACAAAAGAAUUGCUUGCAAUGUAGCUUGGAACUUGUGUUUUCCUAUUCUU
Molecule: long non-coding RNA, 923 nt
Filed under: Malus domestica (apple)
Lineage: Eukaryota; Viridiplantae; Streptophyta; Magnoliopsida; Rosales; Rosaceae
Description: long non-coding RNA (MDOM_LNC012696)
Source: RNAcentral